This 587-nucleotide ribosomal RNA is filed under the name uncultured bacterium. RNAcentral describes it as "bacterial SSU rRNA". It matches the Rfam family "Bacterial small subunit ribosomal RNA", at positions 12 to 594 of the family's 1533-position model. The record is from RNAcentral.
UUUGAUUAUGGCUCAGAUUGAACGCUGGCGGAAUGCUUUACACAUGCAAGUCGAACGGCAGCACGGACUUCGGUCUGGUGGCGAGUGGCGAACGGGUGAGUAAUAUAUCGGAACGUGCCCAGUCGUGGGGGAUAACGUAGUGAAAAUUACGCUAAUACCGCAUACGAUCUAAGGAUGAAAGCGGGGGAUCGCAAGACCUCGCGCGAUUGGAGCGGCCGAUAUCAGAUUAGGUAGUUGGUGAGGUAAAGGCUCACCAAGCCAACGAUCUGUAGCUGGUCUGAGAGGACGACCAGCCACACUGGAACUGAGACACGGUCCAGACUCCUACGGGAGGCAGCAGUGGGGAAUUUUGGACAAUGGACGCAAGUCUGAUCCAGCCAUUCCGCGUGCAGGACGAAGGCCUUCGGGUUGUAAACUGCUUUUGUACAGAACGAAAAGGUCUCUAUUAAUACUAGGGGCUCAUGACGGUACUGUAAGAAUAAGCACCGGCUAACUACGUGCCAGCAGCCGCGGUAAUACGUAGGGUGCAAGCGUUAAUCGGAAUUACUGGGCGUAAAGCGUGCGCAGGCGGUUAUAUAAGACAGAUG